AGAUUUUUCAACUCACUCCCAAAAUACUAACGUCACAAAAUGCAUCUUUUUAUGCUGAUCUUUGGGACUGUGUUCUUCCCUAAAGCCUGCACACUGGUAUGUUAUGAGUGUAUACCAGGGAACACUGACAGCUUGUCUUCUCCAAAUGGGACAAAGUGUCUCAGAUGUGACAAACAAGACUGCUUCAAAACUGUAAAGUGCAAUGAAAAUGAGAACUACUGCUUCUAUGGAAAAGUGAAUGCACUUGGGGCAAAGGCAUUUGGAAAAGGCUGCGCCACCAAGCAUCAGUGUUCGAACAGGCAAACGAUACAGAUCCCAAAUUUCUUUGGGGAUUACAUUAGCUGCUGCCUGGGUGACGUCUGCAACAGUACCAGCAGUCCACAUGCCUCCCUCCUGCUCUUGGUUUUACAGCUGAUUUCUUGGAUCUUUUCCCCUUAGCUGGACACUACUAAACAGUUUUUCCUCAUCUACACAGGGCUUCCUCCCAUUUCCCCAGAGCCCAGAGAAAAUAUGAUGUUUCAUGACCAAAACAUUAAAUAUUUUUUUCACUUUGUGGACAUAGAUCAGCUCAGAGUUUGUCAAGGAGUAUUUACAGUACAAAGC
Long non-coding RNA from Oreochromis aureus, 603 nucleotides. Lineage: Eukaryota; Metazoa; Chordata; Actinopteri; Cichliformes; Cichlidae. The record is from Ensembl.